Molecule: long non-coding RNA, 243 nt
Filed under: Elaeis guineensis (African oil palm)
Lineage: Eukaryota; Viridiplantae; Streptophyta; Magnoliopsida; Arecales; Arecaceae
Description: long non-coding RNA (EGUI_LNC037314)
Source: RNAcentral
UGCCAAUCCAUUGAGAGUGUUCAGCAAAAUCUUCUUCUCCUUAAGUAUUGAAUUUUUAUUGCAUUUAUUGUGCUCAUUUAAGGGGUUGUUGUGCUGAAAUUUCUAUACACUGUGUUCUUGCUAUUAUAUUUUGAGUUUUGAGUUUUGGGGGUUUCAAAACUCGGAUAGGUUGAUCCGAAUCUGAAAUCGGAGUGUUGUGAGUUGGCUUGUAUUUGAAAAAUAAGUAUUCUUACUUGGAUAGCA